AAGUCGUAACAAGGUUUCCGUAGGUGAACCUGCGGAAGGAUCAUUACAUUCAGUAGCUUGCUACUGUUAGGGGGGUCCAUUAGUCUGUAUAGUAUCACUACUGAUGAGCAGCACGACUCCCUGUCUAUACCCUUGUCUUUUGCGCACUCAUGUUUCCUCGGCGGCUUGACACCCGCCGGCUGGAUCAAUCUAUAACCUUUUUAAUUUUCAAUCAGCGUCUGAAAAACCUAAUAAUUACAACUUUCAACAACGGAUCUCUUGGUUCUG
Molecule: unclassified non-coding RNA, 267 nt
Filed under: fungal sp.
Lineage: Eukaryota; Fungi
Description: partial internal transcribed spacer region
Rfam family: Eukaryotic small subunit ribosomal RNA (bases 1-46)
Source: RNAcentral